UUGUGUUUUAUUCUUCAUUUGUUGUUCCUCAGCCACGUAAAAUAGGUUUCUCCAGUUUUGGCCACCGUAAGAAGCGCACUCACGAGUCCACUGACUACAUCUGCCCUCUGGAUGCUUCACAAGACCAGGCCCUGCUCAAUGGGGCCAACCGGCCCUACAGCGGCUUCAGGGGCCUGAGCCCCAUCUUUGACCGGGACCCAGAGAGACAGGAGCAGGUGGGAGUUCUACAGAUCUGACGCUCUGCUAGCCGUCACCGCUGAGCUUGCAGCCAAUAACCCUCCACCCAUAUCCCACAAAACCCACGACAAGUUCACAACAACACAGGUGCCAUUUUAUAAAAUCCCUCAUUGACGGACACAAGACAGCAGUAUGGACACUGCAGGAAGACAUGGAUCCAAGGGUUUAGUAAUGUAAAUGACAUCAUCUCACUAAGGCAGCAGGGUUUAACAGAACGCUUUUCCCAGAAUAGUGCCAUUUAUCCUGUGAUGGACAGUCGGAUACAUUUGACUUUAUAUCAUUUUUCUGUGAAUCGUAAAAAAAAAUGUAUUAUGAGGUUUAUCUAACAAGUAUUCCAUUUUUGUAACCUAACUUUGUGCUGUUUUUAAAGACAGUGUGUACAGUUUUGUGCAACAUUUGCAUAUUUUAGGGAUUAAUUUAAUGGUAUAUUUAUGGUGAAUUUUUAAGAAGCAUACAGACUACUAUUAAAUGUUCAGCAGCACAUUUUAAAUAAUCAGAUGGUUAUUUUCAUACAAUAAACUGCACAGGAGUAUUUUUACAUGUAGAAAUCUUGCCUCUUCAGUUGAAGAUACUGUAACGAUAUAUAACCCAAAAUAUCGUUACAUAAUCAAUAAACCUCCUCAAUCACAGUGAUAUUUGGGGGUUUUUUAACACACAGAAUGGCUAUACCCCUUUACUUUAUCAUUGUCCUUUUUUUCUUGAUGAAUGUUUUCUUGGCUGUAUAUGAUUUCAAAAAUAAAUCAUCUUGCAACAAAUGUUUAAUAACAGACUUUGAGAAAUGACAUUGACAUGCAUGAUUUGCAAACAUUAAGCAUUAAUCUGCUGUCAUCCAUGCAUCUGGCCACCACCAAACACCCAUUUUCACAAUGUGGAGAAGUGCAUGCUGGGAAAGGACUUUCAUGCACUUGUGCAGCUGUUGCACACUAAAGAAUCAGGGAUGCAGAUCGAGGCCUUAUCCAGGAGAAUUAACAACCUCACAUACUUACUCAGCCGAGACGAGCUGCUGAGAGGAAUGAGACGCAGCCAGACCGCCAUAGUGUGAUCGGCCUGCGCCGCAUUAACUCCACCGUCCCGCCAAGAGCAUACCUCAACCUAACCCACCUCACCCUCAAAGCUUCAGGACCUGAACUGUGUCACACAAUCCUGCAUAAUUCAGCUCAAGAACACAGCUCUAUUAUUUUUGAUAUUGUAUUACUAAUUAUUUUUGAUGCGUUAUGGGGUUAUAAUGUACUGUAUGACAAUCAGAUCUGAGUUAAAGAGCAAACAAAAAAAUAAUUUUGUGUAAUAUGCAGACAGCACUUUUCACAAAGCCUUUCUGUCAAUAGAUGAAAUCAUCUACCUCAACCAUUGUGUUCUUCUUAAAAUAUUGUAUUCAUAUAGCCAGUGGAACUGGAUGUGAGUAAAUCCUUCUGUUUGACGAACACUUUGUCAUUUUCUUAGGCUGUUUUACUUCAUUUUUUUCAAAGCUUGUUAAAAGCAGUUAGUUUUUUCAAGCAGAAAUGGUUGUUUGCUUGCUAUACCUCUGUUAAAUCCACCCCAAGAGUUAAAAGGGGUUUGUUGUAGUAGGGGGCUUUAUGCUGUGUAUGACGACUUGUCCAGUGUCCUACGUGUCCAAUGUGUCCCAUGACCCAACCGACAAACUUUGGGAGGUCCUUAUAUGACGGCUGAGCUUUAAAUGAGCAUACUUAUCUUAACAGGACUCCAAAGAAGAGAAGAAAAAUCCGCCCGCAGGUUCACUCUCGACCGAUACCAAGGAAAGAAUAAUAUUGUGUAUAAGGGAAACCACACUUUGAACUAGACCAGCUGGAAUGAAGCAAACAGAUCUCCAGUAUGAAGCCAAAACCAGCUUUUUCAGAACCUUGUGGGCUAAACCCAAUAAAACCACCUUGGCAGAACUCAUCCACCUCUUUAAUGACUGCAUCAGAGAACAAAGGAGUAUCUGCUUUUCAGGGACCCCGAGAACAAGUUCCACCCAAGUCCUUCAACCCUAAGUGAGAUCUUUCUGAUGACCUGCAUCCAGCGCAGCAGCCUGCUGAAUCAACUGCAUGGCCAUGACCCCAGAACAGAAGAUCCUGCUUGGUGCCCACUGGGUCUGGACCGUGUUGGAUCAGCCGAGCAAGAACCCCUGGUCCGUGUUUUUUCAUCAUCAUUUUCGAUAUUAUGGCAGACACUGCUGGACGGUCCAAUGUCCGGUUUGAAUAGGUCCAAUGAUAGCUUACUGUACAACCACAGCUGCAUGUGUUGAUGCCGUGCGAAGGCAUCUCCACAACUUUUUGAAAAAUACCACUUUAUUUG
Sinocyclocheilus grahami is the source of this 2532-nucleotide long non-coding RNA. RefSeq lists it as uncharacterized. NCBI's taxonomy places the organism in Eukaryota, Metazoa, Chordata, Actinopteri, Cypriniformes, Cyprinidae. The record is from RefSeq and is a predicted model, not a curated record. The transcript has 4 exons.